UGCCACGAGAACGGUCAACAGAGGAGAAGGCUCAAGACGGAGAACAGAAAACCAAGGGACCUUCUGAGAUGCCCAGAUGCCCAGCUGUUUCAGGCGGGCACAGCUGGUGAACCAAUGAGCAUCAGGGUCCGAGUUAGUUCAGAAGGAACACAUUGAGAUGACUGGAAAGAGUGCAUACAGUGAACAAGAACACUUGAAUAACUAAUAACAGUGAUGAUGAGAUGAGAGUGGGUUCUCAAGAAGAAGAAAAAGGUUACGGGUUUGACCUCGGAAAGAUGAUAGGGUUGAGAAGCCAAGGUUUAUAAGGUCAGAGAGAAAAGUUCUUGAACAAAGGAGGUGGAACAGAUGUUAUGGAGGCAAACGCGUCUUGAAGUGGGUGAAGAUCUCGUCGGAAUGGACGUGGAGAAGAACAAUCUCGAGGAGAACAGAUGCAGAACAGAUGACCGGGAGAGAGAGGUUUUUCCCGAGGACCAAAAUAUGCAUUGCCUCAAGAUAAGGAAUGAGCGAGUGAGCGCCCCGUUCUCGGCAGAUCCUGACUGACAUAUCAGCAUCCAGGCGUCAAGAUCAAACACAUGGCAGCCUUUGGAAUAGAG
Penaeus vannamei (Pacific white shrimp) is the source of this 593-nucleotide non-coding RNA. Lineage: Eukaryota; Metazoa; Arthropoda; Malacostraca; Decapoda; Penaeidae. The record is from RefSeq and is a predicted model, not a curated record.